Molecule: long non-coding RNA, 4829 nt
Organism: Mirounga angustirostris (Northern elephant seal)
Lineage: Eukaryota; Metazoa; Chordata; Mammalia; Carnivora; Phocidae
Exons: 4
Source: RefSeq, a predicted model, not a curated record
CGACCGGUUCCGCGUGCCGGCCUCUGAACACAGCACCGUGAUUGGCUCACCGUCCUGUCUGCCGGACGUAACCAAUGGGCGGGGGGAAGGGAACGUGUGUCAGGAAGGACGGAAGAGGAGGAAAAGGAGGGAGAGGAGCUGACAGUGGUUGCAUCCAAAUCAAACGGGGGGGGAGGAGAUAGAAGGUACGCAUGCGCACUUGCUUGCUUCCCCCCCCGGCGGGGCGUCGAGCGAGAGUCACGUGACCCGACCCAGCGGUCGCGCCCCGCGGGGGUUUUUUAGGAGCUUCCCGGCCUCAGGGGACGCAAAAUUAAGUCGAGCCACCGCCCGUCGGGGACGCCGGGUGUCUGGGGUGGCAGUCCGCUUGCUCCAGCCCCUUGGGCUCCAAAGUGGGUAGGGACGUAGAGAAAGAAUAAAACGUCCAAGUUGGCAGAGCGCGCCCCCCCAUCUGUUUAUUUCAGAGUCCCAUUUCUCGGAUGGGCAAGUUGGGCUUCCGAGCCCCAAAAAAACUUGCAAGUGGCGAGGCUAGCAGGCCCUUCCUGCGGCCCGCUGCCCUUCGGGGACAGCGUCCUGUGACGCGCCGGCCGCGGCCGCCAGCCCGCCCGAGAGGCCGCCAGCGAACCGGAGCGCGGGACGGGACGCCCCGGCCAGGGUGGCGGCCCCGCACCUGUCCCGGGGAGCACACUCCGGGUCCACGUGUGGCCGCCUGCGUAACGCGCCAGCCCCCACCUCCUCCGGCCGGAACCCGCGUGGCUGCGCGGGGUGGACCGCCUGGCCUCCCGUUAACCUGCGCCGCGUUGCGGCCCCGUCACCCCCGCGGCUCCAGCCCCCGGAGGAAGAGGCCACGCAAACGAGAGGUGACCGCACAGAGGCAAAACCGGCCCUCCAGGUGUUGGCGGCGAGGACAGGAGCCACCAGGGCCUGCAGAAGCCGUCCAGGGCACCACCCCUCAGGAGCUGCCACAGCGCGCUCCUGCAAAGCAAGGUGGCUUUACAGCCGGCACUUCUGGACUAAAAGCUGACCCCCUCAUUAUGGUCCCUGCAGGAUCUGGGCCCGCGUCCUCUGUGUUCAUCUCACGCCGUCCUCUGCUUGGCUUGUGCUGCCCAGUCACACACUGGCCUUCUUGCUGUUUCCCCAGGACACCAAGCUCUUCUCUGCCUCAGGGCCUUUACCCUCACGGUACUCUCUCUGGAAUCUUCCUCCUCCUCAAUUCUCAAGGCUCUGCUCAAAUGGCCUAUAAGCACAGAGCCCUUGUCAUACCAGCCUUGUUAAGGUAGAGGUUCCACACGCCUAUUGCCUGGUUUUAUUUUUUCAUACCCUGCCUCACUACCUGAAAUGAUCCUACUAUUGAUGUGUUUACUUACAGGUCUCUUGUCACCAAUAAAUAACUUUUCGGAGGGGAGAAUCUUGGCAGUCUUAUUCCUGGUUGAAUCUUAAAAAGAUUGGCUCCACACCCAAUGUGGGUCUGGAACUCACGACUCCAAUCAAGAGUCACAUGUUCCACGAACUGAGCCAGCCAGGUGCCCCUGUACUUUCAUUUUUAACAUCCUUCCAGACUUCUAAGAAAACUGCCCGUUUGGAAACAGAGCCCCACUGUGGGCAUGUAGGAUCACCAGGGAAGCUGUUGGCUGAGCUGAGGAUAAACACCAGCGAUUCUAUUCUCAGUGACUAACUUCAACAUGAAUACCAACACGAAUGACAGGAAAUCAGAUGAUGCAAGGCGAAGCAGGAGCAUCAGACCUUGAAAUGACAUGGGGCUUUAGGUGAUAGCCAGGCCCGCUGGUUUGCAAGUGCACCCUGGUCCAGCCCUGAGAAGCCGCUCUUGCAGAAACACCUAGGAACCUGACUUAUUCAGUAGAAAAUAACUGCCCCAGAGGUGGGAGUUAGGGUCUAGUGAAAGUUUAAAUUAGGAGUAAUUAUAGUUGAAGAGCUUAAAACCAGAGGGAAACACGGGGGAAUGGACAUCACAUCUGUGAGCAUUCAGAGAAAUCAUUUAAAUUCACUAAAAUUAUUCCAACAACAACAAAAAUAGCAAUGAGUAGCAUUUUCUGCACACGAAGCAAUGCUAUGUUUGUUCCCUUUUUAAGAGGAAUCCUGUGACCCCUCUCCCCACAAAACCCAGUAUUGAAGUUCAGGCCUGAAUCACUCUGGAUACACACCCCUUGGAGAGGCUUGACCCAAACCAGUUAAAAAAAAAGAAAGCGCCAAAGAGCCAAAUUCUUGGCUUCCACCAGUUCCUAAACAGGCUUUUGAAAUUCAUGGCAGAGAUAAUAACCUUGAAAGCCAAGGCUUUUGAUUUGCAAGAUUCGCAAAAGAGGCUCUUUUUUUUAAAUGUCUCUGAAUUGGUUUUGAGUAGCAAGACUUUGGAUUCAAAAGCAAAUCCCUGAAGGAAUCUUGGAAUAAAGUUUCUGCCACAACAGACAAUACAUCUGCGGGGGGAACUGAUGAAAAGUCAGAUUAUCCUGUCCCCGAGGGUGAAAAUGUCCAAAAAAACCAAAAACCAAAACAAAAACCCAGAGAGGAGGAAUUAGAAAUUCCAGGGGGCUAAAGAAGAGGUAAAACAUGGUUGGCCGUGAGCUGAGGAGCUAAUCAUUGUUACAAUUGCCUUCAUUAUUCCAGUCUAUUUCUGUUUUUCUUUUUCUUUUCUUUUUUUUAAGUAAGCUUUACACCCAACGUGGGGCUCGAACUCAUGACCCUGAGAUCAGGAGUUGCAUAUGGUCCACCGACUGAGCCAGGCAGGCGCCCUUAUUCUCUCUACCUUUUUGAAAUUUUUCAUAUUAAAAAUACUGCGAUUGUUAGUUUUAAUGGGGAAGCUGGGAGACCAGCAAGAAGGUUAUCACAAUCGUGCAGGCAAGAAGUGGUGGUUGUGUGGGCCAGGGUAGCUGAGAUGGGGAGGAUGUGGGAAGCCGGAGAGAGGCAGGUGGAUAUCUGGUGGUUGCCCACUUGAUUAAAUUCCCCUGCACUUUCCCUCCUCCUUCACCUCAGGGGUUCUCACGCAGCGCUCCGGGAUGGGGGUGCGGGUAGGUUAAGUUAGAGAAGAGCGAUGCUAGAUUAGCAACGCAGUGGUUCCUGAGAAGGGUCUCUGCCCCAUGGCGCCACCUACAGCCCGGGGAUGAUAGGUACAUCCAGAUGCCUCUGGGUUCCAGUCUAGGAGCCCUGGGAACCUCAAAAGAUCGUCAGUAGGCAGUGGCCUGACCUAGUUUUUCAAAAUCCUCUCCACCCCAGCUACUGCGUGGAGCAGUUCAGAAUGGGGAAAGGAUGUGCUCUGGUUCAUCUCCAUAUCCCUGCUCUUUGCCUCCCACCAGAGAGUCCCCAGCAGAUGUUUGUGUGUGAAUAUAGAAGUGGGUGUGCAAUGUCAGAGAAUUGGGGGGGCCUUUCUGGACAAUCCGAAAUGUUGGUACGGUGAGUCCAGUCAAGUGGGUAAGAGGACCCAUUCUGAGAGCUGGGUUCAUAUCCUGCCACCGUCACUUACCUACCAGCUGUGUGAAUCUGCGCAAGGCACUUGAUGGUGCCUCGGUUUCCCCAUCUGUAAAAUGGGGUAAUACUAGCACUAAUAAUAGUACCUUCCUCAUAGGUCUGUUUUGAGUAAACUCCCGCAAUGCCAUGCUUUAUAUAGAGAAAGACCAAGGGAAAGGCUAGCUGUAAUGAGGGGUUAAGAGUACGAUAAAGAGGGCGCCUGGGUGGCUCAGUUGGUUAAGCGACUGCCUUCGGCUCAGGUCAUGGUCCUGGAGUCCCGGAAUCGAGUCCCACAUCGGGCUCCCUGCUCAGCAGGGAGUCUGCUUCUCCCUCUCCCGCUCCCCCUCUUGUGCUCUUUCUCUCUCUCACUCUCUCUCUCAAAUAAAUAAAAUCUUAAAAAAAAAAAAAAAGAGUACGAUAAAGAAACCACUCAAAUGCUGCAAACCCUCCUCGUACUGCCAGGAAUGCCCAGAAAGUUCCCCCCCCCCCCCCCCGGGGUGGGAGUUGUUUUAUUCCCCGUUGGCUCUAGCGUGGUGUAUAGAGCUCUGCUCCCAGUAGGGGGCGCAGUAAAUAUUGACUCAAGCAGCGAACGAGCCAGGAGUUUCCUAAGGACCAGAAUUCACCUCUUAAAAUAACCCCAAACCUAAAGAAUCCCACAAGAGCAAAAACUGUAUCAGAGGGAAAUUAUUUGAGGGACGACUCCCGAAUGUGACAGUGGUUGAGGAAAAGCAUCUCUUAUCGAAAAGAUUGUGUGUGUGUGUGUGUGUUUUAAGAUUUUUUUUUUAAAGGAAUCUCUACACCCAACUUGGGGCUCCAACUCACAACCCCGAAAUCAAGAGUCCCACGUUCCCCCGACUAAGCCAGCUACGUGCCCCAAAAAGACUGUGUUUUGAGACAAAUGUUUGCUUGCUCAGAAAAAGCAGAAAAGGUUUGGGGGUGGCAAGCCGCAACAAAUAGUCAUUAAAGCAAAAUUAGUACAGGUCUUAAAUUCCCGAGGUUGCAAAACAGCCUGGCUGAGGUCAUUUGUGCCUAAUUAUUGUGCCCAAUAAUUACCUUGACUAAUUAGAGCAAAGGUUUUGGAGUAUGUUUCUAUUCCCAGACACUGAGUCAUCAGUGACCCAGAAUAAAUCAUUUCACUCUAUUUGUGUCUUGGAUCUUCUGCAUGGAAGCACCCUUGGCCAACCCCUCGGGGCCAUUCCAAAGGCUUCAUUAAUUAAUAUUUGGAAAACAAUGUAAUUUGUAUGUGUCAGGCCUAUAAAAACAUGACAUCAGUAUGUUUUGUAUGUUAGGUUCAUUUAUUUAAUUAUUCAACUACUCUCCAGGUGCACUUAAUAUUUAUUAAGUACCUCUUCCGAGCUAGGCCCUGAGAUAAG